Molecule: long non-coding RNA, 5285 nt
Organism: Eriocheir sinensis (Chinese mitten crab)
Lineage: Eukaryota; Metazoa; Arthropoda; Malacostraca; Decapoda; Varunidae
Exons: 3
Source: RefSeq, a predicted model, not a curated record
AAUGUGAAUUUGGAGAGAGAGGAGAGGAGAGGAGAGAAAGAGAAAGGGAGAGAGGCCUGGCAUCCAUUAACGGGGUCCUUAUUAGCUGCGGUUAUCACUUGUUUCUUCUUCAUCUCUCCAAGGAACGUUUUUUUCAUCCUCUCCUUUAGGCUUACAAACGUUUUUUGCUGCAGGAGCCUUAUCACAUAUUCCUCCAUUAGCUCAACGUGUUAUUAACUUGUCUGGUAUUAUGCUUCAUUAACUAUUCGUAUUAUUAACUUGUCUGAUAUUUUUAGACGGUACUAGGUUUUAUAUUUACUCCUUUGUUUAUACUUUAUUUUAAGGCGACAGAGCAAGUUUUAAUGAAAGAUAGAGAAAGAAAAUCCACAAUGUAUUUUAUUUUAACUUCUUUCUUACUUGUCAUUGUGUGCGUAUUGCGUGUCACUACCGCCUAAUGAAGCACAUAUAUGGAGGUGCUGUGUGUGUGUGUGUGUGUGUGUGUGUGUGUGUGUGUGUGUGUCCUUAUCUUCCUCCACCCUCCACUGAUCACGGAGCGCCAUAGACACCCACCAUUAGUGUGUGUGUGUGUGUGUGUGUUAUGAGUUGUGGCCCGCCAAGAAAACAGUGGAGCCCGUUAGAGAGACCCAGUAGGACAUUGGACGUGCCUGAAAACACAUACACACACACACACACACACACACACACACACACACUUAUACACACAUUUACAUACAUAUAAAUCCCUGUGUAGCAUUAACAAGGGUUUGCGCAACGGUUGUCAGGUGCAUAAUCCAUUCACGGUGCCCUAAUGUGACGCAAGAAACACAAGCUCCUCGUUUCAGGUUUUAGGGUUGUCUGGUCCUCGUGUGUACGGAAGUGUGAGACCAGAGUCGAGUAGGAGGUGAAGAGGAAGAGGAAGAGGGAGCGUAUUUGGUACAGACGCAUGAGAUCAGAGUCGAGUAAGAGGAAGAGCGAUGCGUGUUUUUUUUUUUUUUUUUUUUUUUUUCCUACAGCAAGGGAGGCAGCUCAAGGGCAAACAACAAAAACAUCAACAAAAAGGCCCACUAAACACUGCUCCGGCAAAAGAAUAAUAGAACGAGAGGAGUUGCGUCAUUUUGCGAGAUGCGUAGAAUAUUGAAGGUCUGAUAUACUUGAGGGAUUAUAAAACUUUUUGUUGAGAGACAGACCAAGGAGCGCAGAACAAGAAAAAGCCCGGCAAAUUGCUUCCGUUAUAUAUAUAAAAAAAAGAUAAAUAAGGGAAAGGAAAGAGUUCUGCAUGAAGCGAUGGCAAAAAACAGCAGUACCAGGGGACGAUUAUUAAGCAAGAUAACGGUAACGAAAAAGCUUAGAAUCAGUGUGUGUGUGUGUGUGUGUGUGUGUGUGUGUGUGUGUGUGUGUGUUGCAGUUAGAGAGGAAUAUGUAGCUUGCUCCCCCUCCUCCUCCUCCUCCUCUUGCCCUCUAUGCCCUGUCUCCUCCCCUCUCUCAUAAAGUCUUGUCGCCUGUCGCUAACAUGGUGUAUACACGGCCAUAAUGUUUUAAGUUGUGUGUGUGUGUGUGUGUGUGUGUGUGUGUGUGUGUGUGUGUGUGUGUGUGUGGCGCGCUGGCGGUUGUGGCUUAUCGUGUCGGCUCACCUUGAACCGCCAACAACAUUAACAUAUGAAAUUGCCCGCCCCUCGCAUGGCACCGGGUGAGUGACUGGCCGUGUGGUGGAGGAAGGGGGUGGGGGGAGUGUUGUGUUCUCGUGCGGCGUAUGCAGGUGUGGCGGUGCUGCAAGACGAGGCGGGGGGAGGGGGGUUGCGCUGUGGCUGGACGUGGUGGGGGGAGACUGAUUGUGUUCGGAAUGGUGUGGUAGGCUGGCUCCGACUGACCGCCCCGUCCCGGACAGCCCUCGGAGGGUCGGCGCCGCUGGGUAGGCUGUACGUUAUGAUGCUAUCUGGUGUGCGCCGCCCCGCGAAACAAGGAACAUUCCUCACCCGACAGUGGCGGGACCUGACCUCGCCCAGCUGGCUGCGUGACCCCCAAGACCCCCUGUGGUGGGCGGCAGUACUUCCGAGCUGGCCCGGCCCUCGUGGCGGAAGUGUCUUUUCUUUGGUAAACCACGUAAUGUUGCUGAAGUGACGACUAAGGAGAGUCCCUAUUGAUGGGACGCUCUUGCCAGCUACCUGUUGUGUCUUCGCCUCCAGCAACACGCUCUGCAGGAGACCGGCGUGGAGCCCGUGCAGGACAGUGAGCCUGGACGGAAAUGCGGCGGUCACUGCACCCAGCCAUCAGCUCCGCCCGCUGGCCACGAUAAUGACGGCACGCGUGCACGGCCUUGCGAUGCUGCUGUGACUCCGGAGAGUUUCUCGAGUCUCGGAACUAAUACUGUUCACCGUGUGUGCCCACAGCUCCUGACGGGGGCGGAAGGGCGCGGCUGUUUUUCCUUUGGGCUUGAUGGGUGGAGGUCCUGCACCCAAGCCUUCUGCCCAUACCCAGGCGUCGCAUGAUUGCCUUCCUGCCCUGGGCACCGCACGCAUUGGAGGAAAUCUUGCCUCGCAACACUAAAAUGACCUUUGCUCUAAUUACGGCCUUCCCUUUGCCCCACACAGUGGCCAGGAUUACGCGAAGAUUUUAGUGCCGCUAAAUUACUCUUGAAGCGCUUGAGAGGUGGCGUUUGUGCGCUGAGCAACGACGAGGAGUCAUUACUGGCGCGAGUUGUGGCUCCGCUCUGGUACACUGGCUCGCGGGGCUGCUCCGGGCGGCCGCUGGUGCCCUGCUUGGCGGCGGCACAGUGGUCGCCCUUGGUGGACUGCUUGCUGCAGGAGGUAGGAUCUGGUAGCUCGGGGAGAAGGAGAACUAGGGGAGGGAGCGGAGAGGGGGAGGAUACACAGGAGGGAGGAAGGAUGGCGGUGAACAGGAAGAGGUGCAGGAUAAUUGAAGUUGCCUCACUUAUUUUUAUGUCUUCAUUACCAAGUGUCAGAGUAAUGCCGGGUUUGGAAGAACACUUGAAAGGUGACUCAUACCCUGUCGUGGCUUGCACUGAACGCGCGUGGGGUACGGGGCCAGGGAGGCUCUGGAGGCUGUUACGGAGCAGGGUGAGUUAGCGGAAUGGUAUACCUGCACGGCGAUGGGAGGACAAGACUCGUAUGUGGUAUUUUUUCGCCUUUUUCCGGGCAGUCUUGUGUAAAGCUUUAGUAGGAGUGAGUCUGGAGAGGACAUAUUGGAGGAACACAAAAGAGGCGGGGAGGGUUGGGUGGCCUGACUGAUACACACGAAGGGCGAAACAAUACGGGUUGUCAGGGAGGACAGACAGACGCGGACGGGCUUGGCUGAGGAGAAAAUGGAAGGAAAAGAUCAGGAGCAAGAUUAGAGCGAGGAGGAAGGGCGAACGAAGGAUGACUGCAGGUACGGAGAGGAGGAGAGAACGUGUGUGGGGAGGGGGCGGGGGGGGGCCACACGCACACAGACCACCAUUGCACAAGGCUGGGUGGCUGGGUGGGUGGUUGGGUACAGGGGAAGCAGACGGCCUUUACCAGCAUGGGUUCGAGCCCCGGGGAAGUUGUGAAGUAAGUGAAGUGGAGAGCACGUUGAUGAGUAGGGCGCUUCUGCUGAUUUACUGCUUAUCCUGCUGUGGAAACUACCUAGGAGAGAGGAAGGGGGGGGGGGUACUAUUGAUGGGAGGAAGAUGGGAUAGGGAGGCAGGCUGGAGCGAGUGGGCGAGUGUAUUAGUGGGGAUGGGAAGGGAAGGGGAGGGGGUGGGGUGCACUUGAUGGGAGGAAGAUGGGAUAGGGAGGCAGGCUGGGACGAGUGGGCGAGUGUAUUAGUGGGGAUGGGAAGGGAAUGAGAGGUGUGGUAGAGGUAGAUGUAUUAGUGCUGAUGGUGGGGAAGGUGUGCUGUGCUUGGGAACCUCUUGAUGGGAGAAUUGGGAAGGGGAGAAAGGAUGGAGUGUGUCUAUUAGCGGCGUCGGGGAGGGUUGGGUGAGGUGAGGGAGAGAAAGUAUAAGUGAUAAGCGAGUGCAGGAGAUUUUUAUUCAUCUAUGUAUUUAUUUGUUUAUUUAUUUAUUGGCGAGGGAAGGAGAGAGUGUAAGUGAAUGAAGGAAUGUGUGAGAGAGAAAGAGAUAGAUAGAGAGUAUAUUUAGCAUUCAUUAAGAAAAACUAAGAUUCACGAUGUGUUUGCGGAAGCGGAAGAGAGAGAGAGAGAGUAGAGAGGUGCACUUGACAACUCGCCAAUAUUUAGUGAGCGAAGAAAAUGGGAAACUAAAAAAUGUGCUGCUUUCGGCUUUCGGCUCUCACAAUAAAUACUUCCCAGGACCACAAAGGAGAUUAAUCGGGUUCUCAUGAGUGCUUUCACAUUCAUGGUGCAGAUGCAUUGUCAAACUAUCACAAGGCUCAUAAAACUACCCAUGGAAACACCCAGAACAACCUCCACGAAAACCCUAUCAAAUGUAGGUGUGGAAGCCUUGUCAAACUAUCAUCAUACCCAUAAAACUACCCAUGGAAACACCCACAACAACCUCCACGAAAAUCCUAUCAAAUGUGGGUGUGGAAGCCUUGUCAAACGAUCAUCAUACCCAUAAAACUACCCAUGGAAACACCCACAACAACCUCCACGAAAAUCCUAUCAAAUGUGGGUGUGGAAGCCUUGUCAAACGAUCACCACUCCUAUAAAACUACCCAUGGACACACCCACAACAUCCUCCACGAAAGCCUUAUCCAAUGUGUGAAAGUCAUCAAACACGUUGGCGAGAGUGAGGAAGGCGAAGAGCAUAGCUGCAUAGAUUGGAUCGCUGGUCAGGGUGAUGAGAGCAAGGGAGUGGAGCACCCCGCCGACUGAUAGCAGAGUAAUCAUGAUGAAGGGAGGGGAAGGGAAGGGAACACCGACCAGGCACGCAACUCACCUUAUACGUUUUCACAGGCGCAGGUGAGGGAGAGCCGGGUAACUAUAUGUAUGAUGAAGUGGUGAUGGCUAAACACCUGAUUCAUGCAGGUACACACUUCAUACACGCUCGAGUUUGUUUGGACUGGGAAUUAAAACAGAAGAGGAGACAGAUUAUAGUGAAUGAACAUGAACACUUUGCUGCCUGCCGACGUAUAUACCCAACUUUUCCUUCCCUUUCUCCCUCUUGUGAAUGAAGAUAGACAGUGUACUAUUGUUUGUUGUUUAAUUACCGUCCACUCUCGCAAGGUAGUUAAGUGAUAGUGGGUGAAAUUUUAAGUUGGAAGUAUGUGUGGGUAAUUUUUUUCCCGUGGUUUUGAUGAGUAAACACACACACACACACACACACACACACACACACACACACACACACACACACACACACACGUACA